RNAcentral lists this transfer RNA (85 nucleotides) under Musa acuminata subsp. malaccensis (wild Malaysian banana). It matches the Rfam family "tRNA". Rfam says of the family: Transfer RNA (tRNA) molecules are approximately 80 nucleotides in length. Their secondary structure includes four short double-helical elements and three loops (D, anti-codon, and T loops). Further hydrogen bonds mediate the characteristic L-shaped molecular structure. tRNAs have two regions of fundamental functional importance: the anti-codon, which is responsible for specific mRNA codon recognition, and the 3' end, to which the tRNAs corresponding amino acid is attached (by aminoacyl-tRNA synthetases). tRNAs cope with the degeneracy of the genetic code in two manners: having more than one tRNA (with a specific anti-codon) for a particular amino acid; and 'wobble' base-pairing, i.e. permitting non-standard base-pairing at the 3rd anti-codon position. Lineage: Eukaryota; Viridiplantae; Streptophyta; Magnoliopsida; Zingiberales; Musaceae. The record is from Rfam by way of RNAcentral.
CCGACCUUAGCUCAGUUGGCAGAGCGGAGGACUGUAGUCGUCCAGAUAAAUCCUUAGGUCGCUGGUUCGAAUCCGGCAGGUCGGA